Molecule: long non-coding RNA, 814 nt
Organism: Tachyglossus aculeatus (Australian echidna)
Lineage: Eukaryota; Metazoa; Chordata; Mammalia; Monotremata; Tachyglossidae
Exons: 3
Source: RefSeq, a predicted model, not a curated record
AGGGCAGGGCAGGGCAGAUAGCGCCCCCUGCGGGGCAGGUCGACGAUAGGGGACACGUAGCAUCCCCCUCCCUGCCGGCAGGUCGACGAUAGGGGGCAGGUCGACCAUAGGGGGCAGGUAGCGCCCCCUAAAGGGCAAGUCGGGGGGCAGGUAGCGCCCCCCUGUGGGGCAGGUCGACGACAGGGUAGCGCCCCCUGCGGGGCAGGUCGACGACAGGGUAGCGCCCCCUGCGGGGCAGGUCGACGACAGGGGACAGGUAGUGCCCCUUGCGGGGCAAGUCGGAGGGCAGGUAGCGCCCCCUGCGGGGCAGGUCGACGACAGGGGACAGGUAGUGCCCCUUGCGGGGCAAGUCGGAGGGCAGGUAGCGCCCCCUGCGGGGCAGGUCGACGAUAGGGGGUAGGUAGUGCCCCUUGCCGGGCAAGUCGGAGGGCAGGUAGCGCCCCCUGCGGGGCAGGUCGACGAUAGGGGGUAGGUAGCGCCCCCUGCGGGGCAAGUCGGAGGGCAGGUAGCGCCCCCUGCGGGGCAAGUCGACGAUAGGGGGUAGGUAGCGCCCCCUGCGGGGCAAGUCGGAGGGUAAGUAGCACCCCCUGCGGGGCAGGUCGACAACAGGGGACAGGUAGCGCCCCUUGCGGGGCUAGUCGGAGGGCAGGUAGCGCCCCCUGCGGGGCAAGUCGGAGAACAGGUAGCGCCCCCUGUGGGGCAAGUCGGAGGGCAGGUAGCGCCCCCUGUGGGGCAAGUCGGAGGGCAGGUAGCGCCCCCUGCCGGGCGGGUGUGGUGAGCGGGCAGGCGGGCGGGCGGCCGCCAGGGUCGCAGG